RNAcentral lists this small nuclear RNA (118 nucleotides) under Echinostoma caproni. The record is from RNAcentral. Lineage: Eukaryota; Metazoa; Platyhelminthes; Trematoda; Plagiorchiida; Echinostomatidae.
GUACUCGCUUAGAUGGUGGUUCAUAUACUAAUAUUAGAACGAUACAGAGGAGAACAGAUACAUAGCAUGGCCCCUGCACAAGGAUGACACGCAAAAUCGUGAAGAGUUCCAUAGUUUU